RAAAAACGACUCUCGGCAACGGAUAUCUCGGCUCUCGCAUCGAUG
This 45-nucleotide ribosomal RNA is filed under the name Convolvulus deserti. RNAcentral describes it as "partial 5.8S ribosomal RNA". Lineage: Eukaryota; Viridiplantae; Streptophyta; Magnoliopsida; Solanales; Convolvulaceae. The record is from RNAcentral.